Molecule: ribosomal RNA, 253 nt
Filed under: uncultured bacterium
Lineage: Bacteria
Description: partial 16S ribosomal RNA
Rfam family: Bacterial small subunit ribosomal RNA
Source: RNAcentral
UACGUAGGGGGCUAGCGUUGUCCGGAAUCAUUGGGCGUAAAGCGCGCGUAGGCGGCCAGAUAAGUCCGGUGUGAAAGUCACAGGCUCAACCUGUGAAUGCCGCUGGAAACUGUCUGGCUUGAGUCCGGAAGAGGAGAGUGGAAUUCCUGGUGUAGCGGUGAAAUGCGCAGAUAUCAGGAAGAACACCUAUGGCGAAGGCAGCUCUCUGGGCCGAUACUGACGCUGAGGAGCGAAAGCGUGGGGAGCGAACAGG